Molecule: long non-coding RNA, 568 nt
Filed under: Equus asinus (donkey)
Lineage: Eukaryota; Metazoa; Chordata; Mammalia; Perissodactyla; Equidae
Description: lncRNA (ENSEASG00005027553.1)
Source: RNAcentral
CUAGCAGUUGGUUCACCAGGAAGCUCAACGUAUCCUACAGAUUAUUGGCCAUUGUGGUAGGUUGAAAUUUUGGUUUCAAUUCUUCAUUCUCCCGUGAGAGAUUCGUGUCGUUUCCUCCUGGCCUUGCUCCCAUAUGAGUGAAGUGUAUUCUUCCUACUCUUUGACCUUGGGCUUGGACGUGUAGCUUGCUUUGAUAAUGGGAUGUUGGUGACACAAGCAGUGACCAGAAACAUGCCUGAAUGGUUCUGCUUGUCCUCUCAUGCUCCGUGCUCCACCGUAAACAGAACAUGCCCAGAAGAGCUGUUUCCCGUCAGCCUGGCCCCAGAACAAAGACCUGGAACAGACUUGAACUGGAGCUGGAGCCAGGAACCAAGGCCAGCCAACCCUCAGCCUGAAAGACAGAUUAGCCCUGAGCUAACUACUGCCAAUCCUCAUCUUCUUGCUUAGGAAGACUGGCCCUGAGCUAACAUCCGUGCCCAUCUUCCUCUACUUUAUAUGUGGGACGCCUACCACAGCAUGGUGUGCCAAGCGGUACCAUGUCCACACCUGGGAUCCGAACCGGCGAACC